Molecule: small nuclear RNA, 130 nt
Organism: Sarcophilus harrisii (Tasmanian devil)
Lineage: Eukaryota; Metazoa; Chordata; Mammalia; Dasyuromorphia; Dasyuridae
Source: Ensembl
GUGUUGUAUAAAAGAAGAAAGGCUUAGGAACCCUCAUGAUAAGAAUGGAGAAAUUCCUAAUGGACUUUUCUACAUACACACAUUGUUAAUCUAUCGUCUCCUACUUCGUGGCAUCUGAUAAUGCUUUUUU